GACGAACGCUGGCGGCGUGCUUAACACAUGCAAGUCGAACGGAAAGGCCCCUUUGGGGGUACUCGAGUGGCGAACGGGUGAGUAACACGUGAGUAACCUGCCCUUGACUUCGGGAUAACUUCAGGAAACUGGGGCUAAUACCGGAUAGGAAUCCUUGCUGCAUGGUGGGGGUUGGAAAGCUUCGGCGGUUUUGGAUGGACUCGCGGCUUAUCAGCUUGUUGGUGGGGUAGUGGCUUACCAAGGCUUUGACGGGUAGCCGGCCUGAGAGGGCGACCGGCCACAUUGGGACUGAGAUACGGCCCAGACUCCUACGGGAGGCAGCAGUGGGGAAUAUUGCACAAUGGGCGGAAGCCUGAUGCGGCAACGCCGCGUGCGGGAUGACGGCCUUCGGGUUGUAAACCGCUUUCAGCAGGGGCGAAGCUUUUGUGACGGUACCUGCAGAAGAAGCACCGGCUAACUACGUG
Molecule: ribosomal RNA, 464 nt
Filed under: uncultured bacterium
Lineage: Bacteria
Description: partial 16S ribosomal RNA
Rfam family: Bacterial small subunit ribosomal RNA
Source: RNAcentral